RNAcentral lists this ribosomal RNA (599 nucleotides) under Dialister sp. oral taxon A97. Its description in RNAcentral is "bacterial SSU rRNA". It matches the Rfam family "Bacterial small subunit ribosomal RNA", at positions 382 to 971 of the family's 1533-position model. Lineage: Bacteria; Bacillati; Bacillota; Negativicutes; Veillonellales; Veillonellaceae. The record is from RNAcentral.
CCUGACGGAGCAACGCCGCGUGAGUGAUGACGGCCUUCGGUUGUAAAACUCUGUGAUCCGGGACGAAAAGGCAGAGUGCGAAGAACAAACUGCAUUGACGGUACCGGAAAAGCAAGCCACGGCUAACUACGUGCCAGCAGCCGCGGUAAUACGUAGGUGGCAAGCGUUGUCCGGAAUUAUUGGGCGUAAAGCGCGCGCAGGCGGCUUCCCAAGUCCCUCUUAAAAGUGCGGGGCUUAACCCCGUGAUGGGAAGGAAACUGGGAAGCUGGAGUAUCGGAGAGGAAAGUGGAAUUCCUAGUGUAGCGGUGAAAUGCGUAGAGAUUAGGAAGAACACCGGUGGCGAAGGCGACUUUCUGGACGAAAACUGACGCUGAGGCGCGAAAGCGUGGGGAGCAAACAGGAUUAGAUACCCUGGUAGUCCACGCCGUAAACGAUGGAUACUAGGUGUAGGAGGUAUCGACCCCUCCUGUGCCGGAGUUAACGCAAUAAGUAUCCCGCCUGGGGAAGUACGAUCGCAAGAUUAAAACUCAAAGGAAUUGACGGGGGGCCCGCACAAGCGGUGGAGUAUGUGGUUUAAUUCGACGCAACGCGAAGAACCU